UUGACACUUCAGUUGCGAGGUAUCGUCAAAUGCGAUAAAGAGUAAUGUUUAGUGAGAAGAGAAAGAUGAUACGAAGAAAGAAUCAUCACUGUUAUCCAUUAGUGACAUUACAUGCAGUUUUUUCUAGUUCAAGAAUGUAAUAGAAUCGAAAUAAUUGAUAUUUAACAGUUUAACUUAGAGCUUAAAUGAUGUUUGAACUUAAACUAGCUUAAUCUAAACAUAACUAUUAUCACAGAUUUCUAUCACAGAUCGAGCAAAAACGAACACAAAACGAAUAUGGAACAACCUAAAAAGUAGCUCAACACCGAAAAUUUUUAUAGCUUUCUCACACCACAAAAUUGAGUUUGUGAACUGCUCAGAAAAGUCGGACAGAGCUACUUGUUCCCGCAACAGUCAUCUGUGUUUUAUAGGUAUACAUUUUGAUAGACACUCAUGUAAUAU
Molecule: long non-coding RNA, 441 nt
Organism: Aedes albopictus (Asian tiger mosquito)
Lineage: Eukaryota; Metazoa; Arthropoda; Insecta; Diptera; Culicidae
Exons: 3
Source: RefSeq, a predicted model, not a curated record